UGUCUAAGUAUAAAUGGUAUACAGUGAAACUGCGAAUGGCUCAUUAUAUCAGUUAUAAUGUGCUUGGGUGUUUAAAGUUAAAUGGAUAACCUCGUUAAUUGUGAGGCUAAUACAUGCGAUGAAGAUUGUUUUUUAUGGCAACAUAAGAGCCAAUUUGACUUGAUAUUGAGUAUGAUUAUACUAAACCGAACUGAUAGCAGUUGUCAAAGACUGUUAUUAUUUUGUGAACAAUAUCAAUUAAAUUAAUCAUAUGGUUUUAAUACCGAUGAUAACCCAAUUUGAUUUCUGCCCUAUCAACUUUUGAUGGUAAUGUCGUGGCUUACCAUGGUUGUGACGGGUACCGGGGGCGUUUAGUCGGUUCCGGAGAGGGAGCUUGAGAUACGGCUACCACUUCCAAGGAAGGCAGCAGGCGCGCAAAUUACCCAAUUCCCAUCGAUUGGAGAGGUAGUGACCACAACUAUCAAGUGGAGACCAUUUUGGUUUCCUCAUUGAAAUGAUUGGCUUUUAAACUGUGCCAAGAGAACCCAUUGGAGGACAAGUCUGGUGCCAGCACCCGCGGUAAUUCCAGCUCCAAUAAUGUAUAGAAAAGUUGUUGCGGUUAAAAAGCUCGUAGUUGAAUAUUUGAUUAAGAUUUAUAGAGUAUCAAAGAGAUAAGCAAUUAUUUCUUGGUAUUCUUUCUUAAUUACUUUGUUAAUAAUGGAAUCUUUAGAAAUAGUGAUAUUUCUAAAAAAAUACUUUGAUCUUGAUGAAUAAUAAGCAAUUAUUGUUUAUUGACAUUGAUGUAGAUUUCAUUAUUUAUAUUACUUUGAACAAAUUAAAAUGAUCAAGAUAAACAUUUUUGUUUUGAAUAUUUUAGCAUGGGAUAAUGACUUUAGAAGCAUUGAAGUUAUUUAAGUUUGGUUUUGUAUGGCUUGCAAUGUUUAGAUUAAUAGGGAUAAUUGGGGUGAUUUAUAUUUAAUUGUUAGGGGUGGAAUUCUUGGAUUUCUUAAAGAUAAACUUGUGCGAAAGCAUUUCACAAAGGUGUUUUCAUUAAUCAAGAACGAAAGUUGGGGGAUCGAAGACGAUCAGAUACCGUCGUAGUCUCAACCAUAAGCUAUAUCAACCAGAGAUUGGAUAAUGUUAUAUCAAUUUUGAGUGCUUGUCAUUCAGAAUAUUACCUCUUCCAGCAUCUUAUUAAGAAAUUACAAGUGUUUAGAUUUCGGGGGGAGUAUGGUCGCAAGGCUGAAACUUAAAGGAAUUGAUGGAACGGGAAACAAUGAGUGGAGCCUGCGGCUUAAUUUGACUCAACACGGGAAAACUUACCAGAGCCCGACGGGAGAAGGAUGGACAGAUUAAUAGCUCUUUCUUGAUUUCUUGGGUGGUGGUGCAUGGCCGUUCUUAGUUGGUGGAGUGAUUUGUCUGGUUAAUUCCGAUAACGAACGAGAUCUCUUUUGUUAACUAUGAGUUCAUAUACUUGUUAUAUGUAAUUCAUCAUUAUCAAGACUAUUUUAUGUUUCCAAUAAAUGGAAGUUUGAGGCAAUAACAGGUCUGUGAUGCCCUUCGAUGUUCUGGGCUGCACGCGUGCUACAAUGAUAAGUUCAAAGAGUUAAGAAAGGAGUAGUAUUCUGUACUACUUCUUUCAUUUCGAGAGUGAAAACUCAAGAUAAUCUUUUAAAUCUCAUCGUGCUGGGGAUUGAUGAUUGUAAUUAUUGAUCUUGAACGAGGAAUUCCUUGUAAAUAAAAGUCAUCAACUUUUGUUGAUUAUGUCCCUUCCCUUUGUACACACCGCCCGUCGCUCCUACCGAUUGAAUAGAUUGAUAAAAAGAGGGGACCUUUGUUUCUUUGAGACUUUGCAACCUUUUUAAAUCAUACUAUUUAGAGGAAGGAGAAGUCG
Molecule: ribosomal RNA, 1873 nt
Filed under: Rhizomastix vacuolata
Lineage: Eukaryota; Evosea
Description: partial small subunit ribosomal RNA
Rfam family: Eukaryotic small subunit ribosomal RNA
Source: RNAcentral